GAGAAAAUUGGUGGAUUUCAAGUAAUCAAGCAAUCAAAGGCGGUGAGCCCUCUAACAAGGGUAAAGACGUUGUGUUAGAGGACUAAGAAUAAGAGUAUUUCAAACUCUUGAUACAGCUCAGGAUAGUUGGUAGAUAGCUCAUUUCGUU
This 148-nucleotide small RNA is filed under the name Theobroma cacao (cacao). RNAcentral's name for it is "sRNA Tc05v2_g010290". Lineage: Eukaryota; Viridiplantae; Streptophyta; Magnoliopsida; Malvales; Malvaceae. The record is from RNAcentral.